This 278-nucleotide ribosomal RNA is filed under the name uncultured prokaryote. RNAcentral's name for it is "partial 16S ribosomal RNA". It matches the Rfam family "Bacterial small subunit ribosomal RNA", at positions 524 to 801 of the family's 1533-position model. The record is from RNAcentral.
CACGGGGGUUGCGAGCGUUGUCCGGAAUUACUAGGCGUAAAGGGCAGGCAGGCGGAUCCAUAAGUUUAUCGUUUAAGGCGUCGGCUUAACCGGCGUAGGGCGGUAGAUACUGUGGAUCUGGAAUGCGGUUGGGGAAGACAGAAUUCCUGGUGUAGCGGUGGAAUGCGCAGAGAUCAGGAGGAAUACCGAAGGCGAAGGCAGUCUUCCAAGCCGUUAUUGAAGCUCAACUGCGAAGGUGUGGGUAUCAAACAGGAUUAGAUACCUGGGUAGUCCCUGAG